This 675-nucleotide long non-coding RNA is filed under the name Ricinus communis (castor bean). RNAcentral describes it as "long non-coding RNA (RCOM_LNC003315)". Lineage: Eukaryota; Viridiplantae; Streptophyta; Magnoliopsida; Malpighiales; Euphorbiaceae. The record is from RNAcentral.
AUGAUAUGAAGCAAUUUUUCAAUUUAUUCAUCUAUCAUAUUUCAUAUUCGUUCCUAAUUUUGGUUAAUGCUUACUCUAUCCUGAUUUUAUAAAUUCUAAUAUAUUUUGUACACGAUAGAUGGGCUUGGGUAGAACUCAUUUCCAAAAGCUAGUUCGAAGGAAGAGGGUGUCCAUAGCAACCCAGUAACUUAGAGACGUAGGACAAAUACAAAUAAAACUACGACUUCUAAUACCCUCCCUCAUGCUUAGAGUGACCUGCAAAUGAGCUGGGGUCUAAACCCAUCAUCGCAGACAAAAGUCUAGAGUUGAUGACAGACGAGCUUGGUAGAACUCAUUCCUAAAAGGUAGCUCAAAGGAAUAGGGUGGCCAAUCUACAUAUAUACUAUAGUGGCCCAAUAACUUAGCGAUGUGGGAUAAAUACAAACAAAUACAACUUCUAACAGUAUUUUACUUGCUAUAAGGUGCAGGCAUUAUCAACAAAUACUUGCAAUUAUUUCAUUAUAUAAUCUUUCAUUUGUUGACUCAUUGUAUUAUUCUUUACUUAUUUUCUGAAUUUUCAUCAAUAAGCUAAUAUUGGUUGAGAAACAUUUUCAUAGUUUUUCUUUCCAGUUUCUAAGUGCUUUCAAUUCAUUACUUAUUAAUCUUCUACAUUUAUACUCACCCCUUUUGUUUUCU